RNAcentral lists this long non-coding RNA (3437 nucleotides) under Nicotiana tabacum (common tobacco). Its description in RNAcentral is "long non-coding RNA (NTAB_LNC017345)". The record is from RNAcentral. Lineage: Eukaryota; Viridiplantae; Streptophyta; Magnoliopsida; Solanales; Solanaceae.
UUUUUUUUCAUUUUCAAAUAUAAAACAGGAAAUAUGAUAACGAGAGACUCGACUCAACUAUACUACGACAAACUCCGACACCAACUAAAAGAAUCACUACUGGACAUGACUAUAAAGUACAAGACAACAUAAAAAAGAAACAGACUCAAAACAUAGAAAAAUAAUCUUCUUAAGCAACUCCUGGAUGCAACGGUCCUGACCAGAUGGUCCUAGGGUGUCUGUCAUGCUCAACCUCCGGUAAGUAGAUCCACACCUGUAUGAAAAACUAAAACCAAAUAGAGUUAAAGACUUAGAACACUAUGUGAGACAAUAACAUUCCCUAUUGGACACAUGCAAGACAUGAUUGAGGCUAUUUUUGCAAAAUGGCUUAUGUGGCCAAAAAGUGGCUAGAAGUGCAAACUCAACAAAAGUGACCUUUAAGACAUGGAAGAAUUACUUGUAGAAAUGGCCUAUUUUAGGAAAUGGUCUACGUGGACAAAAAUGUCUAAGCAUGAAAAUUCAACACAAUGGACCUUAAACAGAGAGAACAUCUUGUUGUAGACUUGGAACUCUAAAACAUGGGUCACUGAACCACUUUUGCGAAAAUGACCCCAUUUUGUAAGAACGGCCGAUAUGGCCAAAAGCGCCUAGAUAUGCAAAUUCGACAAGGACAGACCUUUAAGUAAAGAGACGCCUAAUUGUGGGUUCAAGACUCUCCAAAUACAAUUAAACAAACCACUUUGCGAAAAUAGCCUUAUUUUGCAAAAUGACCGAUAUGGCCAAAAGUGGCUAGACAUGCAAGAUUUGGCUAAGACCCCGCGAAGUCAAGAACAUAAGACUUACUAAGAAGACCGGACCCUAUGUGGGUUACCUACGUAUCACACCCCGAAAGACGAGAAUCAAGUAUGCGUAGUUCGGGCAGAUUGGAUACGGGCGAGAAUUAAAAAACAACCAAUUUAGAGAAAAUAUAUUUUUUAUCUUUUUGUUUUGAAAAAUGUUGAAACAUGUAAACUCUUUUUGGAUUUUCUUUUUCCUUUUUUUUUUUUGGAAAAUGAUGGGAAAGUGCAAAAUCUUUUUGGGUUUUUCAUUUUUUUUUUCUUUUUAAAAAAAUGUGAAAGAAAAAUAUAAUUGGGCCCUACUUGCUUUAUUUUUUACACUUCACCCUCUUUUUUUUCAUUUAUCAUCAAGCCUCAUUGGUCCGCCAAAUGACCCAUUUUACCCUUGAAAAUUGCAACAUGUAACACAUAGGAUGCAUCAGGAUGGUCUUUUAUUUUGGGUAUACCUGUCCUAGACGGACCCAACCCCUGUGUUGAGUCCCCAAAGUCAAAUGCACGGGAUGCAAACAAGCGUUCCUACUAGGGAUCCGGCAUGAGACUAUGUUAUUCUAGAUUUAAAACCUAGGUGUAUUGUUCUAGACCUGGAUUACCCGAGCGGACAACUCGAGCCGAGGGGGGCCAGCGUACCGGUAACCAAAAGAGCAUCCGGCUUUGCAACUUGUCCGAACCUCGUUCUAAAUUAGGGUAUGGCACUAACAGAAAGAAGUCAUGCCAGCGUACACUUCUCAGAAGGUUAGAAGAGAGGGGUUUCGUAGCAGUUUAUAUACAGUUCAGAUAAUAUCAAAGCGGUAGAAAGAAACAUUUAGCACAUUAGGCCCAAACAUGUAAAUAAAAUCAGAUAAUAAAUAAAGCCAAAUAUAACAAUUAUUCUAAGCUCAAAUUCUUGAACCCUAAACCGGAGAUUCUGGGUUUUGGUCCCUAGCGGCGUCGCUAGAGCUGUCACACCUCCUUUUUCUACUCCCGGAAGGGAGUAUAGGGAAGUUUUUCCAAUUUAAGUGACAAUCGAAACGGGAUUAUUUAUAUUAAAAUCAGAGUCACCACUUGGGAUAAUUUAUGGUGUCCCAAGUCACCGGUUUAAAUCCCGAAUCGAGGAAGUUUGACUCUGUUUUACAGUCCGCGAAAUACAGAAAUUUGGGUAAGGAAUUAUGUUAACCCGGGAGAAGGAGUUAGGCAUUUCCGGGUUCCGUGGUUUUAGCACGGUCGCUCAACUGUUAAUAUUGGCCUAUUUAUCUGAUUUUAAAACAUUUUUGAAACCUAUGCAUUUUAUUCCUUUUAAAACCGCUUUUAAUAAUCCAAUUGUCAUAAAGCUAAUUAUUUUGAUUACACAUUGUGAAUCAUGUCGCGGGAGUCAUACCCACGAUCCACAGCAUGUUUGUUUUGUUAACAAGAUUAAAUUGUGGUGGGGUCACAUAAAUGUACCCCCAGAUUUUAAAAAUUAAGCAUCACAACUACGUCACGGGAACUGUACCCGUGGCUAUGACAAUUUAUUCAAUUAAUGCGCCUAAAGCAAACUACGAAAGUUCAACGUAUUUUCUACACUAGUUAAGAUAUCGAUGUGAGGGACAUAGACUAGGUGAUUGGAUGGCACACCUCCAUUUUAUUAAUGGAAAAGCAUUCAACUAAGUGAACUACGGAUAUUCAUGUUUGAAACUAAUUUGAGAUUAAGUAUCACAACCACGCCAUGGGAACCAUACCCGUAGUUGCGAUGAUUUAAUUACAUGCCUAAAGUAAUUAACGGUUAUGGGAGAAAAGUAGAAAUAAAACAAACUAAAAUGAAUGGAUGAAAGUCAAUUCAUGUUAAUUUUUAAUUCGGUUUCAAUCACAAAUCUCAUGGCCCGUAAAGAUGUAUACAUUAUUCAAACAAUCCAAACAUGAAACGCCCAAACAACUCUAGCGAAUAAUAAUUCCAACAGAAUUUAAACCAAGAAGAAUUGAGAAACAAUAGAUAAGUAUCAUGUUGUUCAUAUCACAUUAGAAGCUGAUGCAAAAAUAAAAGUAACAGUGAUAAGAAUUGAACCUGGGAUUGCUUCUUUUAAAUGAGUAAAAUCAAAAACUAAAAAAGUAUGCUAGGACUGACUGUGUGCAAGACCCGACAAUGAAGUUUGAAUGUGCAACAAAAAACAACAAGACAGCAACGAUCGAAAUCGGAACCGCGAAUUGAACCGACGACGGAAUCACUUCGAAUCGAAUUCCGAAUCAGCAAACCUGAAAACCCGAAAUUGGACCGAACAAAAUUUUUUCUUUUGGUUUUUAACUCCUCCAUGUAAAUCAUAGAAAAGCAGAGCUUUGCAAAAGGUACACGCUUUAUUCAUUAUCCUUCCAUCCAAUGACACUUCAUCGACAAAAUUAGCUCCACUUUCUAAAACCCCAAAUUUCUUCAAAUAAUCAGAUCGGUUCCUCCUAAAUCUAUCUUCCUCUAUUUAUUUAUUUUGCGUGUGCUUUUUGUGUGUUGUUUGGUUUAGAGAGUGGAUGUCAUUCUCCUCUUUUGUGUGUUCAUGCUGCUGGAGGAAGUAAUGUAGUAGGUGUUGUAAUGAAGGAGUUGUUCUUUUGGUGAAGAAGAUGAUACAAUGGUUGUGUCCAUUUUCUAAAAUCAGAAAUGGCUGAUGUGAUUUUAGGUCUAGG